CACGAACACCGCUGAACCUUACCUUCUCUGGUACUCCGACGGAAAUCGAAGUGCGUUCGAAUAUUUGAACGCCCUGUUAACAUUGGAUAUUUGAAUGAACGGCGCCUAUUCGACUGGAACUUAGCAUUUUGAACUAUGUGAAAUAGACCGACCGCACAGCCCAAAUCUAUGGAACUCUUUUGGGCAUGAAAGCCAUGCUUGCGGUCUGUCAAAUAUGACUUCCAUAGAAUUUGUGAACCCCUGCUCUGAUAUGGGUGAUUUUUG
Molecule: non-coding RNA, 264 nt
Organism: Pelobates cultripes (western spadefoot toad)
Lineage: Eukaryota; Metazoa; Chordata; Amphibia; Anura; Pelobatidae
Source: the annotation of a GenBank genome assembly